ACAGUCCACCACCGGCCGCAUGGCUGUGGAUCCCCAGUGGCCAACACCCCCCUGCUGGCCUCCCUUCCCCCACCUUCCUGGCAUCCACCUCUGUGACAGAGCAGCCCCUGGCUUUCCUGUUUCCCAGCCGCUUCUGACCAGUCCACAAGGCUCGUGCCUCAGGAGGACUAGACACGCUCAUGGCUGCUCUCCUCUCCUGAACACAACCUGACUGAGAUGCGCUGCUACUUGAAUGCUGCCUGCACUGACAAUUUUUGACCCGAGUGAGAACCACGGAGGAGUGAAGCCAAUGCCUCCCACGGACCUGCCCAACUAGUACCCAGAGGGCAAGGAUGCCUGUUGAAGCAUCCAGAGAAGACAAACAAGGUCUCCAAGCAAGGUGAAAAGGGGUAGGGAGUGGAGAUAAAGAGGCAAAUGGAAACUCUAGAGUGAGGGGUGUAUCUGGAUUUUUAACAGAGGCACACCUUCCUCACCUCGUCUUCUCUACUCGGCUCAUGGGUUGGUGGAGGUUGUCAUCUGUGGAAAAAUGAGAGUCCGUUUCCAUUUGCUAAUGGACUUGAUGCAGGUUUCAGAAUAUUCGUGCCAGUGAUGCACUACAGCCAAUGGGGGCCGGGAUAUGCAGGAAGGUGUGGGGGACAGGCAGCAAUAACUGAAGCCCUCUUCAUUAGCAUAUGGGGGUGAAGAAAGUCAGAGAUUUAACAACACUGCAAGAUCCACAAAGUGAAAGUUCAAGGUUUAAGUACAUUGUGAAGUAGUAGAAUAUUUGAAGGUCGACUAUGAUAAUUAAAGAUACAUACUGUAAUUUCUAGAGCUAUGUUCCCCCCAAAACGUUUGCACAAUGAUAGAAAUGGGCUAAAUAUGUGUGUCCAGUUGGUAGCCACUUGCCACAUGGAGCAUAGCUCUAAAGUGUGAGGGAAAACAAAUCUAAGAAAGAAAAGAUUAUAUUUUUCUUUGUGCAAAGGGAGACUUUCCCCUGCUCUCCUCUUUCUUAGAGC
Molecule: long non-coding RNA, 995 nt
Organism: Suricata suricatta (meerkat)
Lineage: Eukaryota; Metazoa; Chordata; Mammalia; Carnivora; Herpestidae
Exons: 4
Source: RefSeq, a predicted model, not a curated record